UAUAUUUAGUUUUUAUACGACCGCAAAAUUUGAAAAAUUUUUCGUCGUAUAUUGCUAUCAAGUUGGCGUCGUCGUCUGCGUCGUCGUCGUCGUCGUCGUCGUCCGAAUACUUUUAGUUUUCGUACUCUAACUUUAGUAAAAAAGAAUGGAAAUCUAUGAAAUUUUAACACAAGGUUUAUGACCACAAAAGGAAGGUUGGUAUUGAUUUUGGGAGUUUUGGUCCCAACAUUUUAGGAAUUAGGGGCCAUAAAGGGCCCAAAUAAGCAUUUUCUUGGUUUUCGCACUAUAACUUUAGUUUAAGUUAAUAGAAAUCUAUGAAAUUUUGACACAAGGUUUAUGACCACAAAAGAACGAUUGGGAUUGAUUUUGGGAGUUUUGGUUUCAACAGUUUAGGAAUUAGGGGCCAAAAAAGGGCCCAAAUAAGCAUUAUUCUUGGUUUUCGCACAAUAACUUUAGUUUAAGUAAACAGAAAUCAAUGAAAUUUAAACACAAUGUUAAUGA
RNAcentral lists this long non-coding RNA (501 nucleotides) under Mytilus galloprovincialis (Mediterranean mussel). The record is from RNAcentral. Lineage: Eukaryota; Metazoa; Mollusca; Bivalvia; Mytilida; Mytilidae.